CUCGAAACUUUGAAUUCUAGCUAGAUAAUAAACACAAUAGAUGAAUUAUAGCUAAUUGAACACUAAUUGAUUAUUAAACAUCAUUUAUACACAAUAUAUGCAUUCUAGCUAGAUAAAUAGAUGAAUCUCUAGACAUACCUAUAUUUUGAAGCCGGUGAUGCUUUUAGACCUCGAAACUUUGAAUCUGCAGUUCUGCACUAGAAAAAUAAAAUUGGUUAAUACAUAUGAAAUAUUAUUGACAACUAAUAUCACUAAUGCAUUUUUAAUGUGUGUGUGUCAUAAUAUAUAAUUAUAUAUACAUAUAUAUUAUGAAUUUUUCAUUUACAUUUAAUAUUAAAUUUAUAAUAUAUAUACAUAUUUUUAUAUUAUCACUAAUUAAUAUAUAUGUGUUAAGGGGUGUGUGUGUUUUAAAUUUAUAAUUCAAUUUUCAUUUUCUCCAAAUUUAUAAUUCAUUUUUCAUUUUUCAUUUUUUAUAAUUCAUUUUUCACAUUGGUUUGAAAUUUAUAAUUCAAUUUUCAUUUUUUAUUUUUUCCUCAUCCCUCUAAGGGGAGGAGAUCGAGGGGCGACGGCCGACCGGCGGGUGGCCUGUGGGCCGGCGCCGCGCGGUCCGCACGACCGCUCACCACCACCGACGAGCCAGGCCGGAGGCGCGCGGCGGACAAACGACGGGGCUGGGGUGGCAGCGGCGCGGAUAGACGCGACGUACAUGCUCAGCGGCGCGAAUCAGGUGGCGGGUGGACGACGAUCGGCGGCGGUGCGGGGAGGGCACGACGGCGGUUUUCUCUCAGGCGCGCGGCAGAUCGAAAUAGGGUUUGGGAGGGAAGGAAGAAGAAGGGGCUGCCAGCUUUAUACAGGAGAGGACCUUUAGUCCUGGUCCUAGUUACGCACCGGGACUAAAGCCCUUUUAGUCCCGGUCCGUAACUAGGACCGGGACUAAAGGGUUUUCACCAAAUCUCUGGUGCCACUCUAGGCGCCAAAAUUUGGUUUUUCUAUUUUUUCACUUAUUCUUCUUGUUAAAUACAUACUAAAUUAAAUGUUAAUGAAAAAAUUUUAAAAAAAUAUGCAUUAUUUUUCUAUGCCUCAUAUGUGCAUUAAAAAUUAUUUAUGAUGAAAUAUUUUUCAUAUGUUUUAUAAUAUUCAACAUAGAUGUUAUUUAUAUUGAAUAUUAUGUUAAUGCAAAAAUAUAACGCCAAAUUAAAAUAUCUAAAAUUGUUGGCUUUCGACAGAAACUUUGUUUUUGCAUCAUCUGGACGUUGGUUCUUCAAUAAUUAUUAACCAAAUAUGCGACAUUGAUUGUCUAAAUUUUAAACUUUAAAAAUUUCAGAGCUCCACAUCGGUUUUUGAAACCCUAGAUUGUCUCAACUGGAAAAGUCAUGAAUACAAUUUUUGUUACACUCAUCACGUUCUACAUUUGGUCUAAUGGUCAACUUUUCAUUUGGAAAAGUUUGAACCACUCAAUUUUGAAUUUUGAAAUAAUUCAUAGCCACACACCAGUUUUCAGAGUUUCAACCACUUAAUUUUGAAUUUUCAACACAUAAAGUUAUAAUUAUAUUACACAAGAUGUCAAAUACACAUUAUUAUCAGCUAUAUCAAGCAGGCACAGUGGUAAACUUCUUCUUGAUGUAAUGCCCUUGGUUAUGAUCAUUCCAUACCCAUAGAGUGUCCUUAGCAGCAAGCAUGAUGCUUGGGUCUUUGGCCACACAGAAGGGUGAGAUUCAUUCAUCUUUUUAAUAAUCCUCUGACAUGUCUGACUUGUCUUCAAUUCCCACAAUGUUUCUUUUCCCUGUAAGAACUAUAUGGUGUUUUGGCUCGUUAGUUUUUUUCUCGUCGUGUUUCCCUCUCUUGGGUUUUGUAGACAUGUCUUUCACAUAGAACACCUGAUUCACAUCAGCAGCAAGGAUAAAUGGAUCAUUUCUAUACCCAAUAUUGUUGAGGUCCACUAUUGUCAUUUCGUACUCCUUAUCGACUGAUACCCCUCCUCCGAUCAUCUUCACCCAUUAGCAUCGGAAUAGAGGGACUUUAAAAUUAUGUACAUAGUCUAGUUCUCAAAUCUUCUCUGUGCGACCAUAAUAAGUGUGUAUGUCCCCAUUUGGUUCUAUGGCAUCCACGCGGACACCACUGUUUUGGUUGGUACUCUUUUUAUCUUGGGAUACGGUGUAAAAUAUAUUUCCAUUUAUCUUGUACCCUUUGAAUGUGAGGACGUGCCACACUGGUUGCCUAGCCAACAAAUAUAAUUCAUCUCCAAUAUUUUUG
This 2253-nucleotide long non-coding RNA is filed under the name Sorghum bicolor (sorghum). RNAcentral's name for it is "long non-coding RNA (SBIC_LNC016515)". The record is from RNAcentral. Lineage: Eukaryota; Viridiplantae; Streptophyta; Magnoliopsida; Poales; Poaceae.